Molecule: long non-coding RNA, 450 nt
Organism: Enhydra lutris kenyoni (northern sea otter)
Lineage: Eukaryota; Metazoa; Chordata; Mammalia; Carnivora; Mustelidae
Exons: 3
Source: RefSeq, a predicted model, not a curated record
GAGCCACCCAGCUUGUAGUUCUUUUGGUGGAGGGACUGAUUCUAGAGCUUCGUACUGUCAUCGUCCAUGAUACCACUCCCUGCUGUGUUCAUUUUUAAAAGUGUUCCUGUUCGGACAAAAAGUUUUAUGGUCACCCAUCGAUGUACUGUCUGUAGGACAGGGGUAGCCUGAAUACCUGCUUCACUGAAUACCUGCUUCACAGCUCCUUUCACAUUUUCUUGUUGGAAAGACAACCGUUGGAGAAUCAUCUUGUUACCGUCAGCAAAAAUGCAAACAAAUCAAGACAUUAAGAAUGCCACAGUGGCCAGCAGUUAAUGAUGCCAGUGUUACACAAGCUUCAGCAAAGUUUUCAAGACAGUGUGCCUCACUAGCCAGAAAUCAGGGAAGAUUGAACCUAUCCUUUUUGUCUCAGCUGUUCCUUAAAUCAAUGCAUCCCCUCCAAAUUAAUGU